CUUACGCACCUGCAUACCAAAACACAAGCUUUUUUGGAAUUCAUAUCAUGUUCUUAAUCUCAAUUUUCAUUAGUCCAUCAUGAUUUUUUUUUCAUAAGUGUAUCUUUGAUGGUGGAGCAAGUUUUCGAGCAAGUUUUCACCUUUACACCAAAACACAAGCUUUUUUUGGAUUCAUAUCAUGUUCUUAAUCUCAGUUUUCAUUAGCCCAUCAUGAUUUAUUUUUGGUAAGUACAUCUUUGAUGGUGGAGCAAGUUUUCGAGUAAGUUUGGAGCAAGUUUUCGAGAAGGAAGUGGAGAAGAGUCAAAGAAGUUGAAGCUCUAUUAGUAUUGGAGGAGUUCAUAUGCAUUUCGUGUCCGAAUAGCACUCAAUUUGAAAGAUUUUUUAUCUUUUAAAAAUUUUACGAUUGCUUUCUCGUUCAGAGAAAAAAAGGAAUUAACCCUUUUUUCUGUUUGUCGUUGUUAGGAUUGGAAUAUGAGUAUAAAGUUGUUGACUUGCUUAAAGGAGAACAAAGCGAUCCUGACGUAUCCGCGGUGGUUGAUGGAGAUGCAGUAAUUGCCGACUCUUUUGCUAUCAUAAUGGUAUGAUUUUUUUGUGCUCUGCCAUUUGAGUGUGUAAAUUUUAUCAUUACUAUGUUGUUGGUGAUGAGAAGAUUUCUUGGGAAGUAUCUGAAAGAGAAGUAUCCCCAACGAGCAUUGUUGCCUCAGGAUCAUCAGAAAAAAGCAAUCAACUAUCAGAUAUGAGUACCAUGGUUAUUAUGGAGGUGAAGAAGCAGAGAGAGAGAAUAACUACACUGACAUGGAUGAAUGUGAAUGUAGGUGCUACUGAAUUAGGAGGACAAUAGAAAACAAAGCUUCUAGAAAAUGAGAGCUUGAAAGGUGAAGAUAGACAAAAAGAUCCUUUCCUCUCAUUUAAACUUUUUGUUAAAUAUGAUUUGUCAUUCUAAAUUUAUGGAAUUUUCAUUUUCUUUAUCGAUCAAUUUGUUCUAUAAUUUUCUUUUUGCCUAAAAUUGGCAUAUAUCCAAUAUA
Molecule: long non-coding RNA, 1025 nt
Organism: Capsicum annuum
Lineage: Eukaryota; Viridiplantae; Streptophyta; Magnoliopsida; Solanales; Solanaceae
Exons: 5
Source: RefSeq, a predicted model, not a curated record